CGCCGUCCGAACCGUGCGCGAUCGAAACACGUCAACGCUGCCCGGGGGUGAAUUAAGCGAAACGACAUUAUCGCAUUGCAUUCGCGGGCGUUCCGUCGUAUGACGAUUGCGGACCCGGUAUUACAAUACCGCGUACAUUUGUGACGGGCGGCGGGGCGGGGCGGGGCGGAGGGGCGGGGGUUGGGGGUUUGCACGGAAAAUAACCGUAUCAUCCGUGAGGGACCGACGUGCGAACGAAAACGUGACAAACACGCGCAUAAACUCGCCGCUAAACAUUACGCGAAUGUUGUAAUGUUACAAGCGCCCGAUAAAUAAAUUCAACGUAUUGUAUUAUAAAUACUUAAUGCGUGACGUGCGAUAUACGAGUAAUUCAAAUGAGUUUUGAAUACAUUUGUCAAUCGUGUUUAGUCUAUUAAUGAUAACCGUAUGUAGUAUAAUAACAUAAAACAUUAUGUAUUUUAUUCAUUUGUAUUGAAAAAUGCGAUUAUUAUUAUUAUUAUUAUUAUUAUCACCCGGAAUGUGUUUUUAAUUAUUUAUUUAUUAGUUAUCAAUAUUCCGCAUAAGUACACGCGCGAAAAAAAAAACCACAUAUUCUUACUUGAUGUUUCGAACGAAACAAAAUGCACCCGUUCGAAUAAUACACACUUAAUGCAAGUAAAGGUAUUUUAUAAUAUGUUAUCCUACCGGACGUUAUAAUCCAACACCUCCGGAAUAAUAUGCAAAUGUUUUUUUUUUUCCGUUUUCUGUGAACGUUGUAUAUAUGCCUAACCCGCAUAAUAAAUUUAUGACUCGCUUGAAACGAUGCGUGCAAUAUUUAAAAAAAAAAACCAUUCGAAAUAUAUCGAAUGUACAAUACUCCCGGGACACCGGUUUACCAUCUGCGUUAUCGCAGCGGGCGUUGUAUUGCGUUAUGCAUAAAAUAUGUUUAUGAUCAUCAUAAAAUAUUAUAUUAUGGUAAUAAUGGUAUUUCGAGAGACGCGACUGCAGAUGUGAACCGACUUGAUGUGAAAUGCCUACGAGCGACAAGUAUGCUUCGAUAACGGUGUAUACGACUAUUAUUAUAGGUGCAUGUACUUAUAUUAUAAAUUAAUCGACCGCGGUUUUACAAUAUUUUAACAAAACUGUGUACAUUUUUGCAAUAACAUUUAUCCCCGUUCGAUUUCGUUCUGUGCAGUAUAAUUUCGAAUCGACCGCAUCGAGUAUAAUUUUAUGACGAAAAGGGGGGGGGAAGGAGCAGGACGAUCUGCUCCGGAGUCUUGUGCCCGGGACUGCAGUGUGAUCUGUUGUGAGGCGUCGGUAAAUUGUUAGGAUCCGCAACCUAUUGGUAACAUAGACAUUUCCGAAAAAAAACGGCGAACUAAUUUUAUUUCCAAACACUGUCGUACAGUUAACGGUCCGUUUUUCGAUUAUUACAUCAAUUAAUAAUAAUAACAAUAAUAAGGUUUCCUAUUCGUUGGUACGUUUAGUAUAGGUAUAUGGCACCCGCAAAAAAAAAAAAAUAUAUAUAUAUAUAUAGGAAAUAAUCGAUGAUAAUCGUCAAUAUCGCGAUUGUCGUAG
This is a non-coding RNA of Cinara cedri, 1557 nucleotides long. Lineage: Eukaryota; Metazoa; Arthropoda; Insecta; Hemiptera; Aphididae. The record is from the annotation of a GenBank genome assembly.